UACGUAGGGGGCAAGCGUUAUCCAGAUUUACUGGGCGUAAAGCGCGUGUAGGCGGCUGGUUAGGUGUGAUGUGAAAUCUUCGGGCUCAACCCGAAAACUGCAUUGCAAACCGGCCUGGCUAGAGUGCAGGAGAGGGAAGCGGAAUUCCAGGUGUAGCGGUGAAAUGCGUAGAUAUCUGGAGGAACACCGACGGCGUAGGCAGCGCCCUGGACGACACCUGACGCUGAGGCACGAAGGCCAGGGGAGCAAACGGG
RNAcentral lists this ribosomal RNA (254 nucleotides) under uncultured bacterium. RNAcentral describes it as "partial 16S ribosomal RNA". It matches the Rfam family "Bacterial small subunit ribosomal RNA", at positions 524 to 776 of the family's 1533-position model. The record is from RNAcentral.